Molecule: ribosomal RNA, 2976 nt
Filed under: Salmonella enterica subsp. enterica serovar Typhimurium str. STm7
Lineage: Bacteria; Pseudomonadati; Pseudomonadota; Gammaproteobacteria; Enterobacterales; Enterobacteriaceae
Description: bacterial LSU rRNA
Rfam family: Bacterial large subunit ribosomal RNA
Source: RNAcentral
GAUGCCCUGGCAGUCAGAGGCGAUGAAGGACGUGCUAAUCUGCGAUAAGCGCCGGUAAGGUGAUAUGAACCGUUAUAACCGGCGAUUUCCGAAUGGGGAAACCCAGUGUGAUUCGUCACACUAUCAUUAACUGAAUCCAUAGGUUAAUGAGGCGAACCGGGGGAACUGAAACAUCUAAGUACCCCGAGGAAAAGAAAUCAACCGAGAUUCCCCCAGUAGCGGCGAGCGAACGGGGAGGAGCCCAGAGCCUGAAUCAGCAUGUGUGUUAGUGGAAGCGUCUGGAAAGGCGCGCGAUACAGGGUGACAGCCCCGUACACAAAAGCGCAUGUGCUGUGAGCUCGAUGAGUAGGGCGGGACACGUGGUAUCCUGUCUGAAUAUGGGGGGACCAUCCUCCAAGGCUAAAUACUCCUGACUGACCGAUAGUGAACCAGUACCGUGAGGGAAAGGCGAAAAGAACCCCGGCGAGGGGAGUGAAAAAGAACCUGAAACCGUGUACGUACAAGCAGUGGGAGCACCCUUCGGGGUGUGACUGCGUACCUUUUGUAUAAUGGGUCAGCGACUUAUAUUCUGUAGCAAGGUUAACCGUAUAGGGGAGCCGGAGGGAAACCGAGUCUUAAUUGGGCGUUAAGUUGCAGGGUAUAGACCCGAAACCCGGUGAUCUAGCCAUGGGCAGGUUGAAGGUUGGGUAACACUAACUGGAGGACCGAACCGACUAAUGUUGAAAAAUUAGCGGAUGACCUGUGGCUGGGGGUGAAAGGCCAAUCAAACCGGGAGAUAGCUGGUUCUCCCCGAAAGCUAUUUAGGUAGCGCCUCGUGAAUUCAUCUCCGGGGGUAGAGCACUGUUUCGGCUAGGGGGCCAUCCCGGCUUACCAACCCGAUGCAAACUGCGAAUACCGGAGAAUGUUAUCACGGGAGACACACGGCGGGUGCUAACGUCCGUCGUGAAGAGGGAAACAACCCAGACCGCCAGCUAAGGUCCCAAAGUCAUGGUUAAGUGGGAAACGAUGUGGGAAGGCCCAGACAGCCAGGAUGUUGGCUUAGAAGCAGCCAUCAUUUAAAGAAAGCGUAAUAGCUCACUGGUCGAGUCGGCCUGCGCGGAAGAUGUAACGGGGCUAAACCAUGCACCGAAGCUGCGGCAGCGAACGUAUCACCCAAGACAACUUUACGGAGUUGACGAUUGACGGAGCGAAGCGACGUCAAAGCGUUCAUUAAAGUCGAGUUGGCUUAGGGAUACGUUCGUUGGGUAGGGGAGCGUUCUGUAAGCCUGUGAAGGUGUGUCGUGAGGCAUGCUGGAGGUAUCAGAAGUGCGAAUGCUGACAUAAGUAACGAUAAAGCGGGUGAAAAGCCCGCUCGCCGGAAGACCAAGGGUUCCUGUCCAACGUUAAUCGGGGCAGGGUGAGUCGACCCCUAAGGCGAGGCCGAAAGGCGUAGUCGAUGGGAAACGGGUUAAUAUUCCCGUACUUGGUGUUACUGCGAAGGGGGGACGGAGAAGGCUAUGUUGGCCGGGCGACGGUUGUCCCGGUUUAAGCGUGUAGGUGUGUGUUCCAGGUAAAUCCGGUUCACUUUAACACUGAGGCGUGACGACGAGGCACUACGGUGCUGAAGCAACAAAUGCCCUGCUUCCAGGAAAAGCCUCUAAGCAUCAGGUAACACGAAAUCGUACCCCAAACCGACACAGGUGGUCAGGUAGAGAAUACCAAGGCGCUUGAGAGAACUCGGGUGAAGGAACUAGGCAAAAUGGUGCCGUAACUUCGGGAGAAGGCACGCUGACACGUAGGUGAAGUGAUUUACUCAUGGAGCUGAAGUCAGUCGAAGAUACCAGCUGGCUGCAACUGUUUAUUAAAAACACAGCACUGUGCAAACACGAAAGUGGACGUAUACGGUGUGACGCCUGCCCGGUGCCGGAAGGUUAAUUGAUGGGGUCAGCGUAAGCGAAGCUCCUGAUCGAAGCCCCGGUAAACGGCGGCCGUAACUAUAACGGUCCUAAGGUAGCGAAAUUCCUUGUCGGGUAAGUUCCGACCUGCACGAAUGGCGUAAUGAUGGCCAGGCUGUCUCCACCCGAGACUCAGUGAAAUUGAACUCGCUGUGAAGAUGCAGUGUACCCGCGGCAAGACGGAAAGACCCCGUGAACCUUUACUAUAGCUUGACACUGAACAUUGAGCCUUGAUGUGUAGGAUAGGUGGGAGGCUUUGAAGUGUGGACGCCAGUCUGCAUGGAGCCGACCUUGAAAUACCACCCUUUAAUGUUUGAUGUUCUAACGUGGACCCGUAAUCCGGGUUGCGGACAGUGUCUGGUGGGUAGUUUGACUGGGGCGGUCUCCUCCUAAAGAGUAACGGAGGAGCACGAAGGUUGGCUAAUCCUGGUCGGACAUCAGGAGGUUAGUGCAAUGGCAUAAGCCAGCUUGACUGCGAGCGUGACGGCGCGAGCAGGUGCGAAAGCAGGUCAUAGUGAUCCGGUGGUUCUGAAUGGAAGGGCCAUCGCUCAACGGAUAAAAGGUACUCCGGGGAUAACAGGCUGAUACCGCCCAAGAGUUCAUAUCGACGGCGGUGUUUGGCACCUCGAUGUCGGCUCAUCACAUCCUGGGGCUGAAGUAGGUCCCAAGGGUAUGGCUGUUCGCCAUUUAAAGUGGUACGCGAGCUGGGUUUAGAACGUCGUGAGACAGUUCGGUCCCUAUCUGCCGUGGGCGCUGGAGAACUGAGGGGGGCUGCUCCUAGUACGAGAGGACCGGAGUGGACGCAUCACUGGUGUUCGGGUUGUCAUGCCAAUGGCACUGCCCGGUAGCUAAAUGCGGAAGAGAUAAGUGCUGAAAGCAUCUAAGCACGAAACUUGCCCCGAGAUGAGUUCUCCCUGAGACUUAGAGUCUCCUGAAGGAACGUUGAAGACGACGACGUUGAUAGGCCGGGUGUGUAAGCGCAGCGAUGCGUUGAGCUAACCGGUACUAAUGAACCGUGAGGCUUAACCUUACAACGCCGAAG